AGUGAACGCUGGCGGUAGGCCUAACACAUGCAAGUCGAACGGCAGCACAGUAAGAGCUUGCUCUUACGGGUGGCGAGUGGCGGACGGGUGAGGAAUACAUCGGAAUCUGCUUUUUCGUGGGGGAUAACGUCGGGAAACUUACGCUAAUACCGCAUACGACCUACGGGUGAAAGCAGGGGAUCUUCGGACCUUGCGCGAUUCAAUGAGCCGAUGUCGGAUUAGCUAGUUGGCGGGGUAAAGGCCCACCAAGGCGACGAUCCGUAGCUGGUCUGAGAGGAUGAUCAGCCACACUGGAACUGAGACACGGUCCAGACUCCUACGGGAGGCAGCAGUGGGGAAUAUUGGACAAUGGGCGCAAGCCUGAUCCAGCAAUACCGCGUGGGUGAAGAAGGCCUUCGGGUUGUAAAGCCCUUUUGUUGGGAAAGAAAAGCAGCAGGUUAAUACCCCGCUGUUCUGACGGUACCCAAAGAAUAAGCACCGGCUAACUUCGUG
This 492-nucleotide ribosomal RNA is filed under the name uncultured bacterium. Its description in RNAcentral is "partial 16S ribosomal RNA". It matches the Rfam family "Bacterial small subunit ribosomal RNA", at positions 29 to 507 of the family's 1533-position model. The record is from RNAcentral.